RNAcentral lists this small RNA (140 nucleotides) under Dolichospermum sp. UHCC 0315A. RNAcentral describes it as "sroH". The record is from RNAcentral. Lineage: Bacteria; Bacillati; Cyanobacteriota; Cyanophyceae; Nostocales; Aphanizomenonaceae.
AGGAUGCAGCAGACAUGAUUUAGGCGUUGAAAGAUAGUCUAAACAUGACAUCCCGUUACCUUUAUGGUCGAGGAAUUCCGGUAAAGACGUUCUGAAUACCAAAAAUUGAUUUUUGGCGAAGACUCCUCAAGGAGUCUUUG